RNAcentral lists this ribosomal RNA (2111 nucleotides) under Salmonella enterica subsp. enterica. Its description in RNAcentral is "partial 23S ribosomal RNA". It matches the Rfam family "Bacterial large subunit ribosomal RNA", at positions 711 to 2803 of the family's 2925-position model. The record is from RNAcentral. Lineage: Bacteria; Pseudomonadati; Pseudomonadota; Gammaproteobacteria; Enterobacterales; Enterobacteriaceae.
AGACCCGAAACCCGGUGAUCUAGCCAUGGGCAGGUUGAAGGUUGGGUAACACUAACUGGAGGACCGAACCGACUAAUGUUGAAAAAUUAGCGGAUGACCUGUGGCUGGGGGUGAAAGGCCAAUCAAACCGGGAGAUAGCUGGUUCUCCCCGAAAGCUAUUUAGGUAGCGCCUCGUGAAUUCAUCUCCGGGGGUAGAGCACUGUUUCGGCUAGGGGGCCAUCCCGGCUUACCAACCCGAUGCAAACUGCGAAUACCGGAGAAUGUUAUCACGGGAGACACACGGCGGGUGCUAACGUCCGUCGUGAAGAGGGAAACAACCCAGACCGCCAGCUAAGGUCCCAAAGUCAUGGUUAAGUGGGAAACGAUGUGGGAAGGCCCAGACAGCCAGGAUGUUGGCUUAGAAGCAGCCAUCAUUUAAAGAAAGCGUAAUAGCUCACUGGUCGAGUCGGCCUGCGCGGAAGAUGUAACGGGGCUAAACCAUGCACCGAAGCUGCGGCAGCGACACUGUGUGUUGUUGGGUAGGGGAGCGUUCUGUAAGCCUGUGAAGGUGUGCUGUGAGGCAUGCUGGAGGUAUCAGAAGUGCGAAUGCUGACAUAAGUAACGAUAAAGCGGGUGAAAAGCCCGCUCGCCGGAAGACCAAGGGUUCCUGUCCAACGUUAAUCGGGGCAGGGUGAGUCGACCCCUAAGGCGAGGCCGAAAGGCGUAGUCGAUGGGAAACGGGUUAAUAUUCCCGUACUUGGUGUUACUGCGAAGGGGGGACGGAGAAGGCUAUGUUGGCCGGGCGACGGUUGUCCCGGUUUAAGCGUGUAGGUGUGUGUUCCAGGUAAAUCCGGUUCACUUUAACACUGAGGCGUGACGACGAGGCACUACGGUGCUGAAGCAACAAAUGCCCUGCUUCCAGGAAAAGCCUCUAAGCAUCAGGUAACAUCAAAUCGUACCCCAAACCGACACAGGUGGUCAGGUAGAGAAUACCAAGGCGCUUGAGAGAACUCGGGUGAAGGAACUAGGCAAAAUGGUGCCGUAACUUCGGGAGAAGGCACGCUGACACGUAGGUGAAGUGAUUUACUCAUGGAGCUGAAGUCAGUCGAAGAUACCAGCUGGCUGCAACUGUUUAUUAAAAACACAGCACUGUGCAAACACGAAAGUGGACGUAUACGGUGUGACGCCUGCCCGGUGCCGGAAGGUUAAUUGAUGGGGUCAGCGCAAGCGAAGCUCCUGAUCGAAGCCCCGGUAAACGGCGGCCGUAACUAUAACGGUCCUAAGGUAGCGAAAUUCCUUGUCGGGUAAGUUCCGACCUGCACGAAUGGCGUAAUGAUGGCCAGGCUGUCUCCACCCGAGACUCAGUGAAAUUGAACUCGCUGUGAAGAUGCAGUGUACCCGCGGCAAGACGGAAAGACCCCGUGAACCUUUACUAUAGCUUGACACUGAACAUUGAGCCUUGAUGUGUAGGAUAGGUGGGAGGCUUUGAAGUGUGGACGCCAGUCUGCAUGGAGCCGACCUUGAAAUACCACCCUUUAAUGUUUGAUGUUCUAACGUGGACCCGUAAUCCGGGUUGCGGACAGUGUCUGGUGGGUAGUUUGACUGGGGCGGUCUCCUCCUAAAGAGUAACGGAGGAGCACGAAGGUUGGCUAAUCCUGGUCGGACAUCAGGAGGUUAGUGCAAUGGCAUAAGCCAGCUUGACUGCGAGCGUGACGGCGCGAGCAGGUGCGAAAGCAGGUCAUAGUGAUCCGGUGGUUCUGAAUGGAAGGGCCAUCGCUCAACGGAUAAAAGGUACUCCGGGGAUAACAGGCUGAUACCGCCCAAGAGUUCAUAUCGACGGCGGUGUUUGGCACCUCGAUGUCGGCUCAUCACAUCCUGGGGCUGAAGUAGGUCCCAAGGGUAUGGCUGUUCGCCAUUUAAAGUGGUACGCGAGCUGGGUUUAGAACGUCGUGAGACAGUUCGGUCCCUAUCUGCCGUGGGCGCUGGAGAACUGAGGGGGGCUGCUCCUAGUACGAGAGGACCGGAGUGGACGCAUCACUGGUGUUCGGGUUGUCAUGCCAAUGGCACUGCCCGGUAGCUAAAUGCGGAAGAGAUAAGUGCUGAAAGCAUCUAAGCACGAAACUUGCCCCGAG